RNAcentral lists this ribosomal RNA (417 nucleotides) under uncultured bacterium. Its description in RNAcentral is "bacterial SSU rRNA". It matches the Rfam family "Bacterial small subunit ribosomal RNA", at positions 28 to 440 of the family's 1533-position model. The record is from RNAcentral.
GAUGAACGCUAGCGGGAGGCUUAAUACAUGCAAGUCGAGGGGUAACAGGGGCUUCGGCCCGCUGACGACCGGCGCACGGGUGAGUAACGCGUACGCAACUUACCUCCAAGCGAGGGAUAGCCCUGGGAAACUGGGAUUAAUACCUCAUGUGAUUAUGAUGCCGCAUGGUGUUAUAAUUAAAGUUCAGGCGCUUGGAGAUGGGCGUGCGUCCUAUUAGCUAGUUGGUGAGGUAACGGCUCACCAAGGCGACGAUAGGUAGGGGGCGUGAGAGCGUGGCCCCCCACACGGGUACUGAGACACGGACCCGACUCCUACGGGAGGCAGCAGUAAGGAAUAUUGGACAAUGGACGGAAGGUCUGAUCCAGCCAUGCCGCGUGAAGGAAGAAGGACGCUUCAGCGUUGUAAACUUCUUUUGGA